Molecule: ribosomal RNA, 888 nt
Filed under: Pseudoalteromonas sp.
Lineage: Bacteria; Pseudomonadati; Pseudomonadota; Gammaproteobacteria; Alteromonadales; Pseudoalteromonadaceae
Description: bacterial SSU rRNA
Rfam family: Bacterial small subunit ribosomal RNA
Source: RNAcentral
GGAAUGGGGAGGCUACCAUGCAGUCGAGCGGCAGCGACAACAUUGAACCUUCGGGGGAUUUGUUGGGCGGCGAGCGGCGGACGGGUGAGUAAUGCUUGGGAAUAUGCCUUAUGGUGGGGGACAACAGUUGGAAACGACUGCUAAUACCGCAUGAUGUCUACGGACCAAAGUGGGGGACCUUCGGGCCUCACGCCAUAAGAUUAGCCCAAGUGGGAUUAGCUAGUUGGUGAGGUAAUGGCUCACCAAGGCGACGAUCCCUAGCUGGUUUGAGAGGAUGAUCAGCCACACUGGGACUGAGACACGGCCCAGACUCCUACGGGAGGCAGCAGUGGGGAAUAUUGCACAAUGGGCGCAAGCCUGAUGCAGCCAUGCCGCGUGUGUGAAGAAGGCCUUCGGGUUGUAAAGCACUUUCAGUAAGGAGGAAAGGUUAGUCACUAAUAUUGGCUAGCUGUGACGUUACUUACAGAAGAAGCACCGGCUAACUCCGUGCCAGCAGCCGCGGUAAUACGGAGGGUGCGAGCGUUAAUCGGAAUUACUGGGCGUAAAGCGUACGCAGGCGGUUUGUUAAGCGAGAUGUGAAAGCCCCGGGCUCAACCUGGGAACUGCAUUUCGAACUGGCAAACUAGAGUGUGAUAGAGGGUGGUAGAAUUUCAGGUGUAGCGGGUGAAAUGCGUAGAGAUCUGAAGGAAUACCGAUGGCGAAGGCAGCCACCUGGGUCAACACUGACGCUCAUGUACGAAAGCGUGGGGAGCAAACAGGAUUUAGAUACCCUGGUAGUCCACGCCGUAAACGAUGUCUACUAUAAGCUCGGUUUCCUCGGAACUGUUUUUCAAAGCUAACGCAUUAAGUAGACCGCCCUGGGGAGUACGGCCGGCAGGGUUUAAAACU